CGUGUAGGCGGUCUUAUAAGUUGGAUGUGAAAGCUCCUGGCUCAACUAGGAGAGGACGUUCAAUACUGUGAGACUAGAGGACGGCAGAGGAAGGUGGAAUUCCCGGUGUAGUGGUGAAAUGCGUAGAUAUCGGGAGGAACACCAGAGGCGAAGGCGGCCUUCUGGGCCGAUCCUGACGCUCAGACGCGAAAGCUAGGGGAGCAAACG
Molecule: ribosomal RNA, 207 nt
Filed under: uncultured bacterium
Lineage: Bacteria
Description: partial 16S ribosomal RNA
Rfam family: Bacterial small subunit ribosomal RNA
Source: RNAcentral